GACGAACGCUGGCGGCGUGCCUAAUACAUGCAAGUAGAACGCACAGUUUAUACCGUAGCUUGCUACACCAUAGACUGUGAGUUGCGAACGGGUGAGUAACGCGUAGGUAACCUGCCUGGUAGCGGGGGAUAACUAUUGGAAACGAUAGCUAAUACCGCAUAAUAUUGAUUAUUGCAUGAUAAUUGAUUGAAAGAUGCUAUUGCAUCACUACCAGAUGGACCUGCGUUGUAUUAGCUAGUAGGUGAGGUAACGGCUCACCUAGGCGACGGUACAUAGCCGACCUGAGAGGGUGAGCGGCCACACUGGGACUGAGACACGGCCCAGACUCCUACGGGAGGCAGCAGUAGGGCAUCUUCGGCAAUGGACGAAAGUCUGACCGAGCAACGCCGCGUGAGUGAAGAAGGUUUUCGGAUCGUAAAGCUCUGUUGUAAGAGAAGAACGGGUGUGAGAGUGGAAAGUUCACACUGUGACGGUAUCUUACCAGAAAGGGGCGGCUAACUACGUG
Molecule: ribosomal RNA, 505 nt
Filed under: uncultured bacterium
Lineage: Bacteria
Description: partial 16S ribosomal RNA
Rfam family: Bacterial small subunit ribosomal RNA
Source: RNAcentral